GCCCUGGUGGCACAAUGGUUAUGUGCUUGGCUGCAAACUAAAAGAUGGGUGGUUAGAACCCACCCAGUGGCU
Molecule: transfer RNA, 72 nt
Filed under: Loxodonta africana (African savanna elephant)
Lineage: Eukaryota; Metazoa; Chordata; Mammalia; Proboscidea; Elephantidae
Rfam family: tRNA
About the family: Transfer RNA (tRNA) molecules are approximately 80 nucleotides in length. Their secondary structure includes four short double-helical elements and three loops (D, anti-codon, and T loops). Further hydrogen bonds mediate the characteristic L-shaped molecular structure. tRNAs have two regions of fundamental functional importance: the anti-codon, which is responsible for specific mRNA codon recognition, and the 3' end, to which the tRNAs corresponding amino acid is attached (by aminoacyl-tRNA synthetases). tRNAs cope with the degeneracy of the genetic code in two manners: having more than one tRNA (with a specific anti-codon) for a particular amino acid; and 'wobble' base-pairing, i.e. permitting non-standard base-pairing at the 3rd anti-codon position.
Source: Rfam by way of RNAcentral